Molecule: non-coding RNA, 80 nt
Filed under: Roseateles aquatilis
Lineage: Bacteria; Pseudomonadati; Pseudomonadota; Betaproteobacteria; Burkholderiales; Sphaerotilaceae
Description: Burkholderia RNA 7 (anti-hemB)
Rfam family: Burkholderia RNA 7 (anti-hemB)
About the family: This RNA motif was identified by computational search in b-proteobacteria Burkholderia. Co-purified with Hfq, expression confirmed by Northern blot.
Source: Rfam by way of RNAcentral
UCCUGCUUUUCCUCCCUGAGCAGGGACUGUUCAUUCAGUCGUUUCGGGCCCGACUGCCCAGGCGGUCGGGCCUUUUUUCU